UCAAAAUGAAAUUGACGGGGGGCCCGCACAAGCGGUGGAGCAUGUGGUUUAAUUCGAUGCAACGCGAAGAACCUUUACCUACUCUUGACAUCCAGAGAACUUUUCCAGAGAUGGAUUGGUGCCUUCGGGAACUCUGAGACAGGUGCUGCAUGGCUGUCGUCAGCUCGUGUUGUGUAAUGUUGGGUUAAGUCCCGCAACGAGCGCAACCCUUAUCCUUUGUUGCCAGCGGUCCGGCCGGGAACUCAAAGGAGACUGCCAGUGAUAAACUGGAGGAAGGUGGGGAUGACGUCAAGUCAUCAUGGCCCUUACGAGUAGGGCUACACACGUGCUACAGUGGCGCAUACAAAGAGAAGCGAACUCGCGAGAGCAAGCGGACCUCAUAAAGUGCAUCGUAGUCCGGAUUGGAGUCUGCAACUCGACUCCAUGAAGUCGGAAUCGCUAGUAAUCGUAGAUCAGAAUGCUACGGUGAAUACGUUCCCGGGCCUUGUACACACCGCCCGUCACACCAUGGGAGUGGGUUGCAAAAGAAGUAGGUAGCUUAACCUUCGGGAGGGCGCUUACCACUUUGUGAUUCAGGACUGGGGUGAAGUCGUAACAAGGUAAC
Molecule: ribosomal RNA, 604 nt
Filed under: uncultured Enterobacter sp.
Lineage: Bacteria; Pseudomonadati; Pseudomonadota; Gammaproteobacteria; Enterobacterales; Enterobacteriaceae
Description: bacterial SSU rRNA
Rfam family: Bacterial small subunit ribosomal RNA
Source: RNAcentral